CAGUAGCCACGGGAAUACGAAGGGUGCAAGCGUUACUCGGAAUUACUGGGCGUAAAGCGUGCGUAGGUGGUGGUUUAAGUCCGUUGUGAAAGCCCUGGGCUCAACCUGGGAAUUGCAGUGGAUACUGGGUCACUAGAGUGUGGUAGAGGAUAGUGGAAUUUCCGGUGUAGCAGUGAAAUGCGUAGAGAUCGGAAGGAACAUCUGUGGCGAAGGCGACCACCUGGACUGAUACUGACACUGAGGUGCGAAAGCGUGGGGAGCAAACAGGAUUAGAUACCCCAGUAGUCCCUGUCUCUUAUAC
RNAcentral lists this ribosomal RNA (301 nucleotides) under uncultured bacterium. RNAcentral's name for it is "partial 16S ribosomal RNA". It matches the Rfam family "Bacterial small subunit ribosomal RNA", at positions 509 to 807 of the family's 1533-position model. The record is from RNAcentral.